Molecule: long non-coding RNA, 1609 nt
Organism: Homo sapiens (human)
Lineage: Eukaryota; Metazoa; Chordata; Mammalia; Primates; Hominidae
Product: long intergenic non-protein coding RNA 2350
Source: Ensembl
GCGGGCGCACUUUCCCCGCCUGCAUCUGAGGCGUGGCGCAGCUGGGAGCAAAGCACAGCUCCAUUUCUGGCCUUUGGUCUCUUUCUCGGAAAGCAGGCCUCAGUGGCCUCAGUUUCUUCCCAGAACCUGCAAUGCCCCACCAAGGUGACAAGAAGUGCAAGGAGUCGGUUUUCACUGCCAACCAAAGAGGUGACCCCCGCAAAGCAACCAUGUUGGGACAGUCCAUUUGCUGCGUUUUGAUUAUUUGCUAAGAGCAAAUACCUUUUCUGUUUGGGUUUUGCUUUUAGAAAAAAAAUGUGGCAGAUGGUGGUGGCUUUCCCCGUCAUUGAAAGAAGAAAGGAGCAUCUUUGAAAGCUGAGCUAGAGGCGGAGCAACUGGUAAACCAGAUGUCCCAAAUUUCUAGCGCUUAGAGGAAGCAUCUGGGAUUGAGCCAUCUCACAUCUGUCUAAUCACAUUCAUUCAAAUGUGAUGGGCCCAACUGGCCUACGUACAUGGCUGCAUAUCACCAUGGGUGGAAAUUAAAUCAGAAUUUGGCUCAGGAGAGAGAUGAAGAGAAAAUGCACGUAGAUAAUUGGCUCAGAUAACAUUCUGUUUCUGGAAGUCACAAAGAGUGGAAAUUGGAAUAUGUAAAUUAAAGAAAAACAGUCCUUAAGAUCAAGUCCGCAAUGGAAGAAGAGCAUUCAUCUGGUACAGGUUGAUGAUUGUGUAAGCCCAAGGAGUGAUGUCAACACUGGGGUUCACCUGAGAACAUGGACAUGGUUGAUGAGGGUUUAGGAGAUGCUCAUACGAAGUCUUCAUAUGUUCCCUGGAUCCCAGCUCUGCCUUCCCACCAGAGAGGAUGUAAUUCAGCCGAGAUGCCCAGAGUCAGCUCUCUGCUCAUAUCUGUUCCGCACUGAAGCCAAUCAUCUGAGAAACCUAAGAAGUGUUUAAUGUAGUUAGGAAAGUGAGGGAUGAAGACCAUAAAUUCCUUUUCAUGUAGCAGAGUAUAUAUGUGAUACUCAUUCUGUGGUAUUUGGGGCAUAAACAAGAGUCGAUGAAGGAAUGUGAAAGUACUCGAAAUCCUGACUUUUAUCUCUAUAAAAAUGGCAUAGGGAUGAAACACACUUGGUUGUUAUGACUGUACUCUUUUCAGAUUUACUACUUGCCUUUCUACUGAUUUUUCUGUGCCACAGGUCUUGACUCCUGUAGGCUAAAUUUCUCAGCCUCUUCUGCUCACUGAUAUAUGGGAAGGUUUGGCCAAAGGUGGGUGACUGGUGGGGAGAAGGAUGAGGGAAUUCAGGGGAUUGCUGAGCCCAUUCUCUAGACAGUGCUGCUGGCACUGGCUCUGUCUUCUCCGUUUCCAUCUCGCAUCAGACGGUUCUUCCCUCUAUGGGCCUAGUCCUACCUAGACACUUUCCAGUUGGAUUCCAGUUCUGGGGAUGCUCCCUCCUGCAGGGAUCUAAGUCCUUCCCAUUGUCUUCGGCUCCUGGGCUCAGCUAGAACCAUCUUUUCCCAUUGUCCCUGUGGUGCUAGGGCUUUCAGUGGUUAUUAACGUCUGUGUUGUAUCAUCUUGCCUGAAUUUCAGCUCUCUGUAACCAGUUCCCCAAAUAAAAUUCCCCCCAUUUACCUA